RNAcentral lists this long non-coding RNA (1045 nucleotides) under Homo sapiens (human). Its description in RNAcentral is "HSALNT0238840". The record is from RNAcentral. Lineage: Eukaryota; Metazoa; Chordata; Mammalia; Primates; Hominidae.
AGCCACGGCCCGGGCCGGCGAAGAGGGAGGGGCAGAGAGCCGCCGCGGUCCCGCUCUCCCGGGGAGAGCCUGGCUGGGAGUCAGAGCUCUCACGGUAACGGAUAGGGAAGCUGAGUUCCGAGCCUUGACCAAGGCAGCACAGCCCACCCUGAGAAGUGGGGGACUGGAAUUCAGGACGCUCGGCCCCAGGCCCGUGGUUUCCCACAGACUUGCAGGUUUCAGGGAGGCAGAGGAACUCACUCAGCCUGAAAAUUUCAGAUAUUUCAUAAGACCUAGAGCCACGUAAGAGUGCGUCCCUUUAAGACACAUGGAAGAAGUCAUGCAAGGCCACACGGUGAGCUAGAGCUGAAAUCAUACCUGUCCUGCCUCAGACCUGUCACCUCUCAUGCUGCCCAGAUAAUGAAUGCAAAAUGCUCCACCCAGUGUCUGACAGUAGUGUAAGCACUCAAUGAAUGGUAGUCAUUGUCAUUAGGAAGCUAGUUGCCUAACUUCUCAGAGCCUCAGGCUUCUUCAUCUGUAAAAUGGACGCAGUAGUACGAUACCUUAUUGUGAGGAUUAAAUGAGCUCAUGCAUGGAAGGUACUUACAGCAGUGGUGUCCAGCAAGCAUGCAACAGUCCACCAGCGCUUGGGCUCCAUGAAAGGGGGGUUCUGUUGUCUGUUUCUUGUUUGUUUGUUUUGUUUUGUUUAGACAGGGUCUUACUCUGUCGCCCAGGCUGGAGUGCAGUGGUGCGAUCAUGGCUUACUGCAGCCUUGACCUCCCCAGGCUCAAGAGAUCCUCCCAUCUCAGCCUCCCAAGUAGCUGGUACUACAGGCAAGUGCUACCAUGUCUGGCUAAUUUUUACAUUUUUUGUAGAGACAGGGCUUCACCGUGUUGAAUCCUGACCAGACUGUCAGGCUCGUCUCAAACUCCUGGUCUCAAGCCAUCCACCCGCCUCAGCUUCCCAAAGUGUUGGGAUUACAGGAGUAAGCCACCGCACCCGGCCCCUGUUGUUGUCUUUUCUUCUUUAAUUGACAAAUAAAAUCUUAUAUAUUUAUAAUAUACAA